Epinephelus fuscoguttatus (brown-marbled grouper) is the source of this 492-nucleotide long non-coding RNA. RefSeq lists it as uncharacterized. The transcript is spliced from 3 exons. Lineage: Eukaryota; Metazoa; Chordata; Actinopteri; Perciformes; Serranidae. The record is from RefSeq and is a predicted model, not a curated record.
AUUGGCCCCAGACCAUGGGAUCUAAAAUGGACUGCACCCCUUUCCUCACACCUAGGCCCUGAAAUCCAUUUGAUUUACACUGAAACCACAGAACAGGAACACAAUGAAAAGGUGCCGCUCUGAAGCCAGAACAUUCUUCUGGCAUUGAUCACAUCCCUUUAACAGCCCGCAGAGGGGAUAGAGAGAAAGUCCUCAACCAAAAGGAGAGUCGGUGGAUUUCCACACUUAGAGCUUUGACAUCCCCAGGCUUGAAUGACUCAGUGGAUUCUGUGUCGUUUCUGUGAUGUGAUCUACUCUAUGGGGUUUUUCCAGAGCUUUAUUAGUGCCACAGGUGUGGCUGAUCCAUGUAAUGAUCUUCACCUAUGUAUAUAUAUACAUGUCCUGUUACUUGUUCUUAUCCUAUUUGCCCUGACGAAGGCCGACUGAGGCCGAAACAUGUAGGUAACUUUUUAUCUGUUCUCCAUGAACUAGCCUCUUUAAUAAAGCUUUUUA